AGAGUUUGAUCCUGGCUCAGAGCGAAGNNNGNNGGCAUUAACACAUGCAAGUCGCACGGUCAGCAAUGGCAGUGGCGGACGGGUGAGUAACACGUAGGAAUCUAUCCCAGGGUGGGGGACAACAGCGGGAAACUGCUGCUAAUACCGCAUGAUACCUGAGGGUCAAAGGCGCGAGUCGCCUUGGGAGGAGCCUGCGUCUGAUUAGCUUGUUGGUGGGGUAAAGGCCUACCAAGGCGACGAUCAGUAGCUGGUCUGAGAGGAUGAUCAGCCACAUUGGGACUGAGACACGGCCCAAACUCCUACGGGAGGCAGCAGUGGGGAAUAUUGGACAAUGGGGGAAACCCUGAUCCAGCAAUGCCGCGUGUGUGAAGAAGGUCUUCGGAUUGUAAAGCACUUUUGGCAGGGACGAUGAUGACGGUACCUGCAGAAUAAGUCCCGGCUAACUUCGUGCCAGCAGCCGCGGUAAUACGAAGGGGGCUAGCGUUGCUCGGAAUGACUGGGCGUAAAGGGCGCGUAGGCGGCACAUACAGUCAGAAGUGAAAUUCCUGGGCUCAACCUGGGGGCUGCUUUUGAUACGUGUGAGCUAGAGUGGAGAAGAGGGUUGUGGAAUUUCCAGUGUAGAGGUGAAAUUCGUAGAUAUUGGAAAGAACACCGGUGGCGAAGGCGGCAACCUGGUCUUCUACUGACGCUGAGGCGCGAAAGCGUGGGGAGCAAACAGGAUUAGAUACCCUAGUAGUCC
This 739-nucleotide ribosomal RNA is filed under the name uncultured bacterium. RNAcentral's name for it is "bacterial SSU rRNA". It matches the Rfam family "Bacterial small subunit ribosomal RNA", at positions 8 to 796 of the family's 1533-position model. The record is from RNAcentral.